Molecule: non-coding RNA, 1111 nt
Organism: Odocoileus virginianus texanus
Lineage: Eukaryota; Metazoa; Chordata; Mammalia; Artiodactyla; Cervidae
Source: RefSeq, a predicted model, not a curated record
GGUCAGGCAGGGUACUAAGAUCCCAAAAGCUGUGUAGCAUGGCCAAAAAAAAAAAAAUAUGUCUGAAAAAUAUUUGAUACUUCAUUCUUCAGGAUGUGGAACUACUUAAUUCACCUCCUUCUAAGUGUGAGUUGAACAUUGUGAAUUUCUUCUUGUAAAUAGAAUAAGAUAGAAGAGACUGUGACUCUGAGACUAGGUCAUAAAAGGCAUUGAGACUUCCUCCUGCAUAUUCUCUUGAGUCACUCCAGGGAAGCCCGCUGUCUUGUCAUGGGACAUUCAGACAGCCUACGGAGAAGCCUGUGUGCCUGGAAAUAAAUGAUCCCAGCCAACAAGGAACCAAAGCCUGUGGACAACUGAAUUCCAGUUUGAUUUUGUAGACAUCCUCAUCUCAUGUUACCAGGUACUGUGCUAAGUGCUCCCAUGUCUCCUCAAGUUUCCCAGCUUCCCAGGUGGUAGUAUCAUUGCCUAGGAAUGGUGGAGCUACGCUUGAAUCCUCUGACUCUAAUGCCCAUCUUCUUAAUCACCACCUUCCUGUGACUGGAGGUUUAUGAGAGGAUAAAUCCAAGAAAGAGUUCAUGAAUUCUGGCAUCAUUCUACAGUAUCAGGUUGUUGUGAUUUCAGGAGACAAUGCACAUAAAACAGGCUUCAGCACACUGUGAAGACUCUCCAGUGCUAUUGUUAAUCUCUGGUUGUGACCAUCCUGAGCACCCCGCUCUGCAUAGCCCUCCUCUGGGGGAGAUGGAGAACAACACAGAACCGUUAGACCUGUCUCCUGCUGAGCCAUCUGGCAUCGACUUUUCAGCUGCACAUCCCGGGGACAAGCUGCAUCUCACUGGGGCCAUGAAAUAAAGGAAGCAAUAAUUUUCCUCUGACCACUCAACUGCUAAAAUGAAGGGACCUGGAAUUUUACACCCUCCAGUUUAACACAGAGAAAGCCUUGUAAUAGGUUACCCUGUGGCUGGUUUCAAGAAUGUUAGCUAAGGGGGAAGGGAUAUUUUGUAUGCUAGAAGACCUUCCAUUAUCCAUUAGCGUUGUGGUCUCUUUGAGUUCUUGUCAUAACCUGAAGUAUUUUAUGAAAGAAUUAACCCCAAGUAUCUUUGGAACCAAUAAA